Molecule: unclassified non-coding RNA, 1507 nt
Filed under: Hevea brasiliensis (rubber tree)
Lineage: Eukaryota; Viridiplantae; Streptophyta; Magnoliopsida; Malpighiales; Euphorbiaceae
Source: RNAcentral
UUUACAUUGCUACUCCAUUGUUCGACCUGCAUACUCGUCUGGGUAUUCUUUCUUUUUCUAUCUCUCUCCAUCUGUAUUUAUGUUUGCAUAAGAGUGUGAGUGUGUGUGUGAGUAACAAAGGUUUUAAUUUGUUGGUCUUGUGAAUUUUGCUGCAAUUUUAAUACCAAGAUGGAGACUCAAAGAAAGAAAAGAAAAGAACACAAAAUUUGUUUUCAUGAACUUGUAGUCUCGGUCUCCCCCAUUUCUUUGAAUUUAUUAUAUUUUGUUUUCUAGUUGAAGGCUAAUUUAUUGGGAAGUGAAGAAAUGUUACGGCCAUGUGGGAUAAAGGGGCAGAAGCGGAAGAAGAGAGAGGAGAGAUAUGAUAAAGAGGAAGAUGAAGUGGAAGCCGAAGAGCAAUCCAUAGAAAGAGCGAAAAGAGCUAUGGUUGAAGAAAAAGAAAUGGCUAUGGAAACCAGCGGGAAGGAAGAAGAAGAAUUAGAAGGGCAAACACAUGAAAUGGCAGGCAUCCCAAUUGUUCCCAGUGAUUUAAAAACAAAAAAGCCUGGGCUUAUAUUUGUGCUUGAGAGGGCCUCUUUGGAAGUUGCUAAAGUUGGAAAGAGUUACCAGAUUUUGAAUUCUGACGAUCAUGCAAAUUUCUUGCGGAAAAAUAACAAAAAUCCAGCUGAUUAUAGGCCUGAUAUUGUUUAUCAGGCUCUCCUAUCAAUAUUAGAUAGUCCAGUAAAUAAGGCUGGGAGGUUGCGAGCUGUGUAUGUGAAAACAGAUAAGGGUGUUCUUUUUGAAGUUAAACCACAUGUGCGUAUACCAAGGACAUAUAAACGAUUUGCUGGAAUUAUGUUGCAGCUGCUUCAGAAACUGAGUAUAACUGCUGUUGGUAAGCGUGAGAAUCUUUUGCGUGUAAUCAAGAAUCCUGUGACCCAGUACCUGCCUGUCAACUCUCGUAAAAUAGGGUUCUCAUAUAGUUCAGAAAAACUGGUUAAAAUGAACAAGUAUGUAGCUGCAGUCAGUGAUGAUGUGGAUAUUGUUUUUGUGGUUGGUGCAAUGGCCCAUGGAAAAAUUGAUUGUGAUUAUAUAGAUGAUUUCAUAGCAAUUUCUGGAUAUCCGCUGAGCGCUGCCUGGUGUAUCUCAAGGAUUUGUGAGGCUGUGGCUGACAAAUGGGAUGUAUUGUAAGCUGUUAUUGUUUAAAGUCGAAUGAGAGCUGGUUGUUGCCCGACUGCCAUUUUUUUCCCCUCAACCAUGAGCAGAAUUACAAAAGUUGAAGAUUAUCGUGAGAUGCUGAAACUAAAAGUUAGAAUAGAAUAGUUGCAGAUAUAGCGAAAUCACCAAGGUUGCCCAUUAGAGUAAUUUCUUAUCUAUCACCUUAUCGAUUAUUUAUGUAGAAGUAUUCUUGCGUAUAUCAUUUAAUAUUUGUUAUGAAUUUCUGAUUAAAUAACUCAUUUUAAGAAAAUAUUUUUUAAACUAAAUUUCCUCUGUUUCUUGUUAAUUGAAUUCUAAUUUAUUAGUUGGAUAU